Molecule: ribosomal RNA, 253 nt
Filed under: uncultured bacterium
Lineage: Bacteria
Description: partial 16S ribosomal RNA
Rfam family: Bacterial small subunit ribosomal RNA
Source: RNAcentral
CACGGGGGGAGCAAGCGUUGUUCGGAAUCACUGGGCGUAAAGGGCGUGCAGGCGGUCAGGUAAGUGGAAUGUGAAAUGCCCCGGCUCACCCGGGGACCGGCAUCUCAUACUGCUUGGCUUGAGUACGGGAGAGGAUGUGGGAAUUCCUGGUGUAGCGGUGAAAUGCGUAGAUAUCAGGAGGAACACCGGUGGCGAAGGCGCACAUCUGGCCCGAUACUGACGCUGAGGCGCGAAAGCUAGGGGAGCAAACGGG